ACAGAGGGUGCAAGCGUUAAUCGGAUUUACUGGGCGUAAAGCGUGCGUAGGUGGCCAAUUAAGUCAAAUGUGAAAUCCCCGAGCUUAACUUGGGAAUUGCAUUCGAUACUGGUUGGCUAGAGUAUGGGAGAGGAUGGUAGAAUUCCAGGUGUAGCGGUGAAAUGCGUAGAGAUCUGGAGGAAUACCGAUGGCGAAGGCAGCCAUCUGGCCUAAUACUGACACUGAGGUACGAAAGCAUGGGGAGCAAACAG
This 251-nucleotide ribosomal RNA is filed under the name uncultured prokaryote. Its description in RNAcentral is "partial 16S rRNA". It matches the Rfam family "Bacterial small subunit ribosomal RNA", at positions 525 to 775 of the family's 1533-position model. The record is from RNAcentral.